RNAcentral lists this long non-coding RNA (590 nucleotides) under Coturnix japonica (Japanese quail). RNAcentral's name for it is "lncRNA (ENSCJPG00005008606.1)". Lineage: Eukaryota; Metazoa; Chordata; Aves; Galliformes; Phasianidae. The record is from RNAcentral.
AAAGAGAUUCAAUUUUUUAAGCCCAUCCUUUAAAGACUGUGUACAGAUGCUAUGCAGCCACGAGAGGGAGUAAGAGUACCAAAGAAAACGAUUUGGAAUUUAAGCAGCAGUUAUAUCUCCAGAUAAACACAACAGCAUUCAGGUGAUAUAAACACAUAAAAUAUAAAGAGGAAGAAAAGGGGGAUUUAGCUCAGAAGGUGGCAGUUAAGCAAGUGUGCUUCUCCUUGUAGAGCCUACCGAGAGACUCCCAUUGUCUGCAGCGGCACUGGGCUUUCAGGAUGGCAAUUGGAGUCAAUGAGAAUUAUGCUCAGAAUUAAGUGUUCUAUGGUGAGUAAAGUGCCAUAAAACAACUCUGUAUAUUAAAAGCUGGGGCCUGUCAUUUCAAGUCAGGAUUUAACAAACAAGGAGAAAGCACUGAUGUGAAUAUUUGUAUCCUCAUCCAUAGAAGAAGAAGAGUGAAGAUGUCAUAAGAUUCAUGUCAUAAGGAUAAUAUCAGGUCAAAUCCACAUUGAAAGCAUUUGUGUACUAUCCUGAUGGAACCACACACAAAUCCAUCAUGAAAUGACUGAUUUGUUUCCCAUGACUGAAAG